RNAcentral lists this ribosomal RNA (667 nucleotides) under uncultured bacterium. RNAcentral's name for it is "bacterial SSU rRNA". It matches the Rfam family "Bacterial small subunit ribosomal RNA", at positions 1 to 716 of the family's 1533-position model. The record is from RNAcentral.
CCCUUAGAGUUUGAUCCUGGCUCAGAACGAACGCUGGCGGCAUGCCUAACACAUGCAAGUCGAACGAAGCCUUCGGGCUUAGUGGCGCACGGGUGCGUAACGCGUGGGAACCUGCCUUUAGGUUCGGAAUAACUCACCGAAAGGUGUGCUAAUACCGAAUAAUGUCUUCGGACCAAAGAUUUAUCGCCUUUAGAUGGGCCCGCGUUGGAUUAGCUAGUUGGUGGGGUAAAGGCCUACCAAGGCGACGAUCCAUAGCUGGUCUUAGAGGAUGAUCAGCCACACUGGGACUGAGACACGGCCCAGACUCCUACGGGAGGCAGCAGUGGGGAAUAUUGGACAAUGGGCGAAAGCCUGAUCCAGCAAUGCCGCGUGAGUGAUGAGGGCCUUAGGGUUGUAAAGCUCUUUUACCAGGGAUGAUAAUGACAGUACCUGGAGAAUAAGCUUCGGCUAACUCCGUGCCAGCAGCCGCGGUAAUACGGAGGGAGCUAGCGUUGUUCGGAAAUACUGGGCGUAAAGCGCACGUAGGCGGCGCAGCAAGUCAGGGGUGAAAUCCCGGGGCUCAACCUCGGAACUGCCCUUGAAACUGCAGUGCUAGAAUCUUGGAGAGGCGAGUGGAAUUCCGAGUGUAGAGGUGAAAUUCGUAGAUAUUCGGAAGAACACCAGUGGC